UUGAAAGGGAAACGAUUGAAGUCAGUCGUACCUUUGGGAAUCAGCCUUUUGGGUGUGAUUUUGUGGAGUGUGGGGAGUUAAACGCCUUCAUGCCUGCAUAUUCGUGCACUUUGGGUGUAUUUGCCCGUGUGGUAAGUUAACAUCAAUUUUGGUGGUCAUAAAAUGGCUGGAGGAAUGUAGCUUCGAUCUCGUAUUGAAGUGUUAUAGCCUUCGGUAGAUGUGAUUAUCGGGAUUGAGGAUUGCAACGGAUACCCUUCGGGCUACCUGUCUGAUCUCUGAUCGGUGCUCUGGUGCCGAAAGCUUGCUUACGGUUAUCAAAGUCGAUGGUCAAUAGGUUAGAACGGGGUUAAAUUCGUUAAGGAUGUUGACGUA
This 372-nucleotide ribosomal RNA is filed under the name uncultured Glomeromycotina. RNAcentral's name for it is "LSU rRNA". Lineage: Eukaryota; Fungi; Glomeromycota. The record is from RNAcentral.